GACCUCAAAUCAGGUAGGACUACCCGCUGAACUUAAGCAUAUCAAUAAGCGGAGGAAAAGAAACUAACAAGGAUUCCCCUAGUAACUGCGAGUGAAGCGGGAAAAGCUCAAAUUUAAAAUCUGACAGUCUUUGGCUGUCCGAGUUGUAAUCUAGAGAAGUGUUAUCCGCGCUGGACCGUGUACAAGUCUCCUGGAAUGGAGCGUCAUAGAGGGUGAGAAUCCCGUCUUUGACACGGACUACCAGGGCUUUGUGAUGCGCUCUCAAAGAGUCGAGUUGUUUGGGAAUGCAGCUCAAAAUGGGUGGUAAAUUCCAUCUAAAGCUAAAUAUUGGCGAGAGACCGAUAGCGAACAAGUACCGUGAGGGAAAGAUGAAAAGAACUUUGGAAAGAGAGUUAAACAGUACGUGAAAUUGCUGAAAGGGAAACGCUUGAAGUCAGUCGCGUUGUCCAGGGAUCAACCUUGCUUUUGCUUGGUGCACUUUCUGGUUGACGGGUCAGCAUCAAUUUUGACCAUUGGAAAAAGAUUAAGGGAAUUGUGGCAUCUUAGGAUGUG
This 552-nucleotide ribosomal RNA is filed under the name Cortinarius semisanguineus. RNAcentral describes it as "eukaryotic LSU rRNA". It matches the Rfam family "Eukaryotic large subunit ribosomal RNA", at positions 1 to 554 of the family's 3401-position model. Lineage: Eukaryota; Fungi; Basidiomycota; Agaricomycetes; Agaricales; Cortinariaceae. The record is from RNAcentral.